Non-coding RNA from Misgurnus anguillicaudatus (oriental weatherfish), 5892 nucleotides. The record is from RefSeq and is a predicted model, not a curated record. Lineage: Eukaryota; Metazoa; Chordata; Actinopteri; Cypriniformes; Cobitidae.
UUUAAGUUGGUUCAACUUUUUGGUGUAAGUUGACAUUACUCAGUAAAUUGAGUUAGGUGAACUACAUCAUCCAAGAGUUGAGUAAACUCAAAAAAGCUGUGCAGCAAGUUGCCUUGAAAAUUUAAGUUAAGUCAACUUUUUAUUUUUUUACAGUGCAGGUUAUUUUGAGGUUUUUUAUUUAUAACCUAAAGGGAACCUUCCCGGAACGUUCCCUGCAGGUUAUUUGUAGGUUUUUUAUUAAUAACCUAAAGAGAACCUUCCCAGAACGUUCCCUGCAGGUUAUUUUUAGGUUUUUUAUUUAUAACCUAAAGAGAACCUUCCCGGAACGUUCCCUGCAGGUUAUUUUUAGGUUUUUAUUUAUAACCUAAGGGGAACCUUCCCGGAACGUUGCCUACCUCCUGAAAAAAACAGCUUAAACCAGGCUAAGCUGGUUGGUUUUAGCUGGUUUAAGAUGGAAAUAGCUGGCCAGGCUGGUCAAGCUGGUUUCCCAGCCUGGUCAAGGUGGUCUCCCAGGCUGGCCAAGCUGGUCUCCCAGGCUGACCAGGCUGGUCAAGCUGGUCUCCCAGCCUGGCCAGUCUGGUAUUAUGGCUGGUCUCCCAGCCUGGCUGGUCAAGCUGGUCUCCCAGCCUGGCCAGCUUAAACCAGCUAAGACAAGUCAGCCUGACCACCAAGCAGGCAUGACCAACCUUCAACGUUGAAAUUUGGUUAAAAUAACCUCAGUUGUUUUUUCAACAUUGAUACAAUGUUGAAACAACGGUGAAUGGUAAACGAUUGCAAAAGGUUAAUACAAUGCUUAAAAAUCAACGUUGAAAUUUGGUUGAAAUAAUGUCAGUACGAUGAAUGGUAAACGGUUGUUUUAUGACAUUUUAAUUUGUGAAUCCUUUAGAUAAAAAUUUAAAAACUCAUUUAAUGAAAAUACUUAUUUUUAUAAAAUUUAACAAAAGUAAUUGAUCAAGUUAAAAAUAUAUUAGACACAUGCAAAUAAAUCAUCUUUAUAUCUUUAUUUCUCCCUUUUAAAACAAGUGCCUUUUUGGUAAAUAUUUUUCUAGGUUCCUCAUAUUAUAUAAUGUUUAAGAAGCUAAAAAUAUUUUUUGUAUACUAUUUGAUUGAUUUAAACACUGGUGGGGCAUUUGAUUUCCAUAUUAAUUUAGGAGAUGGAUUAGGCUUUUGUAAGCAUUAUUAUGGUUGUUUUAUUUUUAUUAUAUUUUCAUCACAAUGUCUAAAAUAUAACGUUUCAAAUAUACAUUUUAAGAAUACCAUUAAUAAUAUAAUAACAUACAACCUUUUAUCUGCUUACUUUACGGUGCACAGACAGCUCCCUCAGCCUUUUGUAAGCAAAACAUGCCCAUGCGGGCCCACUGUGAGGUAUACUGUGGGACAGUGUGGGCAGGGCAAACUUACACCACAUCUCAAAUGGGCCCCCAAAUUAUCAUUGGUAGCUAUUAUCUUAGCAGAUCCUUUUCUUUUGAUGUUUGUUGUUGUUAAAUCAAAAACCAGUUACUACACUUGUAUUAUAAUAAAACAAUUGUUUUAUUUUUAUUUUUUCAUAAAGCUCUGUCCAUUUAGAACAAAAUGUGCAUGCAUGUUUAUGAAAUAAUUGAACCCACCCCCGGGUGAAGAUCUAAAAAGCUAUGUAAGCACAAUAUGUCUGUUUAUUUUAAUACAAGAAAUGUUUAUUGUUAAACAAGUUCUAAAUUUCAGUUCAGUCUGGACGUGGGACAUCUUUUUUACCAUCUUUAUUGUUCUUUAACAUGUUGUCUUUUGUUAUGUGUUAUUAGCUAUGGUUAUUAGUCAUGUUCGACUUCGUGCAGCACUGCGAGAACCGACAUCAUACGUUGAUGACGUCAAUGUAUCGCGAGAGCGAGUCAAGAAAUUACACUCUCGCGGUACAUUGACGUCAGCGCAGCAAGAAGUCGAACACACGUAUUUGCGUGCGCGCGCCUCGGUCCUUGUGAGUUCAAAGUGGAUUUUAACCGUUUACCUCAGACGACAGUUUUCAUUUCUAUGGUAAAUUCUAAGGUCAUUUUCUUGUUGUGUUGUGAUGUGUUCCAUUGGCUGAAGAGCAGAUUACCAUGCAAUUUGAUGAAGUGUGAUAAAAUACACAGAGGUGAAGUCACGUGUCUUUCCAGAUGCCUAAAUCUGUACCACUCAAAAGGUAAUGAAGUGACAGUGUACCAUGACAAAUAAUGUAAACAUUAUUUCUUUCAAAGUUGUACUUGGGCCACAGUUUUUUGUAUUUCUAACCAAAACAUUACAUUUAUGAUUCUAUACUAAUGAAAUAUGUUUUUCUUUUUCCAAACUUUAUCAAAUGCAAUGAUCGCUAAGAUGAGCCUGAAGAGGAGAUUUGGGAAGAUGCUGUUUCAUAAGUCUUUGCUUUGCCAGAUCACCUGUGGUAAGUUUGUAAAAGAUAUAUUAAAAAUAGGACCAGAACAUCUCCUAAUCAAAUUUUUUGAUCAGGUCGGUGAUGCCUUGGUGGUCUGGGCGAGUUUGAAGUCUCUCACAGACAGUCCAGAAGGUCUGGAGUCCAUGUUAGCUUUUAUUGAUUAACUACAUACGGUCCUUUGGGGGAGCCAACCCAGGUGAAGUCCACUGAAGUCCUGAGUGCCUACAGCAUGAAAGGGAGGAAGGCAAUAUCCAAUUUAAAGAGACAGAAUAAGAUUGGACCAGAAUAUCACACUCUAAAUUCUGCUGGGUUAUUUUGAACCCAAUGCUGGGUAAAUAUUGGACAGAACACAUGGGUUACCUUUUAAAUAAAGCACUGCAUUGAAACAACCCAGUAUAGGUUUAUUUAUUAUUUACUAAUGCAGUAUGCCUACUAGAAAUGGGUAAAUGAAGGCAUGCUCAAGAAGAAAAGUGGCCAAGGAGAAAAUGCAUUACGUUAGGACUGAUGUGAUUUGUAACUGGUACUGAUGUGCUUAUAAAAUAAGAAAAACAUAUAAAUGAUCAGAUUAUCAACUUGCAUAAUUAUGCAUGUAGUAAUCAUAACAACAGUUACAACCAUACAUCACAAUUGUGGUUAUACAGGAGUAUGAGUAUGGCUGCGUUUACAUUUUGCAUUAACAUGCGAUCUCGGUGAUCCGUUCACGCAGAUCCGAUCAUUCGUAUAUCAGGACACGGCGCGUUUACAUUUGUCACAUAAAUGUGGCUUCUGUAUCUGGAUGUGUGAUCGGAUCCCGUGCAGGGAGACGCGCGCUGGGUGGAUAGCUGUCAAUCAAAAUGGGUACAGCUGUCUUUAGCCACAGGAUUUAGGGUUUUCGCGCUAACCGCAAUCCCGUAUUGUACAGUGCUACUGAGAAGCCAACAGCAGAGAAUAACUAGCAACCCCAACAACCGUGAUGUUCACAUUUUAAGCGUUAUAUUUUUUAGCUUUAAAAGCCUUAUCUUUAAAAGCCUUAUAGCGUCCGCACCGCGGAUGAAUGUCCUGUUUAACUUGUCCUGAACUUGACUUUCACCCGCAUGCUUUAAAUCAACAACAAAAUCCGCGUGAAACAUGACCGACUCCACUGUUUUAUUCUGCCUUAAUAACGGGCUUUUGGCUCUGCCUGAACUUAUGUAUAUUUAUAUUUUAACCAUAAACUGUUGUUAGUUAUGUUUCCUGGUAAUUUUAAUAUGAUUUGAUUAAAAGAGCUAACAAUUUCCUAAAUUUCCUGAAUCCUGUUGAUAGUGCGUAAGAAGUAAUGUAAUUUACAAACACAUAUAAGUAACCUUGCAUAAAACCAACACUGAAUAAAUGUAUUUGGUUAAUGUUAUUAUGGUUUGUACGUGUUUUAAAGUAACUUAAAAUGUAUUAAAUGAGACAGAAACAGCCGAUUGACCAGAAAGAAGCGCAACAUUCACGUUGAUAUGUCACCAUGGAAACUCAAACAUUAUAACGAUCCUGAAUUCUGCCAUUAAAUAUUAAAUCUCUCUACGAAUAGGAACAUAUAUGCCUGAAUAACUUAAAUACAGUCAGCAGUGUUAAAAUGCUUUUGAAUAUCGAUUUAUUAAGAUACUUUUAAGCGUAGCUUCCAUUGCUCCACAAAUAUAUGCGUCUCUCACCUGCGCUACAUGACAUAACGUCCUUUAUUUUUGACAGCUGUCAGUGAAAGGAGAUGAUAGUGGGCGGGGUUUUGUGUGACGUUGGCCUGCAAAUGCAGAUACGAUGGCUGGAUUGCGUUUACGUUACACUGAGAUCCGAUCACAAUGCGUCCUCGACUACCUCUGCAUCAGGACACACAGAUCGGAUAACAUUCCGAUCACAGACGCGUUUACACUUGUCUUUUCAAUGUGUAUGUGGACAACAUCCGGAUACAGGUCGCAUGUUAAUGCCAAGUGUAAACGCAGCCAUAUGACAUGACAUGAUGAACUUGUAUGUUUAAUUCAGGGGUGGCAAACGUUGGUCCUGGAGGUCUGCAGUCCUGCAGAGUUUAGCUCCAGCUCUAAUCAAACACACCUGAACAGGCUAAAAUCAAGGUCUAAAGAGUUACUAGAAAGCUACGGGCAGGUGAGGUUUUAUCAGGGUUGGAGCUAAAAUCUGCAGGACUGCCCUCUCCAGUACCGAUGUUCGCCAUCCCUGGUUUAAGUGGUACAUAUUUUACAAGGCCAAUUCUUAUGAAUUUGUACAGUAAAUCAUACAAAUACCUAUGACUAUUAUUAAAAUAAGAAUGAAUUAAAUUAGUACAAUGAGCCACCUCAUAACAUACAUAGUACUAAUUGCCAUGAGAUUGUGUUUUUUUUAUAAUCAGCUGAAAAAUUUAUUUAAUUCUUUCAUCGAAUUGUAUUUACAAUCUACACAUUAUAGAAAUUAUUGACUGUGAUUAUUUUAUUUUAUUAACAGAAUCAACACAGAAAAACUACAAGGCAUUAAAGGCCCUUGACGUGGAAGACUUAAUUGCAUUAACCCUGAAAUUUGCCCCACACAGAAAUUUAAAAUGAUGGGAGAGAUUGCUGUGGAGUUCUGAAGUUCAUCGUUUAAAGCGUAACUAAACCCCUGGUCAGAGCCUGACUCCACCCACUGCAAUAUUUGAAAAAUGCAAGAAAAGUAGGCAGAUCCCAACGGAGAAAGAGGGGAUGAACUAAGCUCGUACCAAGUGUGUGGUGAGAUCGUAAUAAGGGUGUGGUAAGCUUGAACCUGCUUACGUCACAAGUUCUUUUUUGGACCCAACAUCCAAUAGAAAAUUCAACUGCAGUAGCCACCGUUCAACCUGAAGAGGGCAGCACUUAGAUGUUUUUACACCAUAUUGUAGUAUUGAAACACUUUAUAUCCAAAUGUCAAAAAACUUACUAAAAUCAAUGAACAGCACUAAUAAACCAUCAUUCUUACAGAUCAUUAACUAAAAAAAGUUGGUUUAGGGUUUAGUUACUCUUUAAAUGUUUUCGUUUUUAAUAUAUUAAAAUGUUUUUUAUGAUACAAUGUUCUACAUGUCUAUUGCCAAUUUUAUGUGUUAUAUAAGCAAAUUAUCUACCCUAUUAUAUUAUUAUCUAAGUCUAUAAAUUCUAUAAAUGUUCCUGUGAUUAAUGAUUUUGAUUUGUCUACGAAUAAAGAAUGGAUCAACAUGGAUUGUGUGAUUAUUUGUUCAUUUAAAUAGAUUAUAUAUAAAUAAACUUAGUUUAUAUAGUGAAAUCGUUUUUUUUUUAAUGAUUUAAUUGCGAAUUUUUAUUAUUAAUGGUGCCUAAAUAUAGGGAAUAACUAGAGGUUUUGAGAACGUUCCGGGAACGUUCUGGCAAGGUUCUGCAAACGUUCUGAGCAGGUUAGAUUGAUGUUUCCCGAAUGUUCCCGAAACGUUCCGACAAGGUUAGGGGAACGUUCUGAGAACCUAAAAAUAACGUUCUAUUUCCGUAAAGAAAACUUUCCUGGGGAACCAACAGGGAACGUUUAAAAAAUAACGUUCUGGGAACCAAAAACUAACGUUC